Molecule: small RNA, 690 nt
Filed under: Histoplasma capsulatum
Lineage: Eukaryota; Fungi; Ascomycota; Eurotiomycetes; Onygenales; Ajellomycetaceae
Also listed under: 1 other name
Description: hypothetical RNA
Source: RNAcentral
ACCACUGCCAAUCUAUCUACCACUGCUAAUCUAUAUCACUGUCAAUCUAUCUAUUGCUGCUAAUUUAUCACUGCUGCCAAUCUAUCUACUGCUGUCAAUCUAUCUAUUGCUGUCAAUCUAUCUACCACUGCUAAUCUAUCACUGCUAAUCUAUCACUGCUAAUCUAUUGCUGCUAAUCUAUCUAUCACUGCUAAUCUAUCACUGUCAAUCUAUCUACUGCUGCCAAUCUAUCUACCACUGCCAAUCUAUCUACUGCUGUCAAUCUAUCUACCACUGCUAAUCUAUCACUGCUAAUCUAUUGCUGCUAAUCUAUUGCUGCUAAUCUAUCACUGCUAAUCUAUUGCUGCUAAUCUAUCUAUCACUGCUAAUCUAUCACUGCCAAUCUAUCUACUGCUGUCAAUCUAUCUAUCACUGCCAAUCUAUCUACCACUGCUAAUCUAUCACUGCUAAUCUAUCACUGCCAAUCUAUAUAGAAUAAAUCAUGGUUCCAUUUGGUCUCAUUUUGUAAAAUGAGAUCAAAUGAAACUGGAAUCACUAAUUUAUUAGUAAAACAUGAUCUGGGACUAGAUUUAUAAUAUAAACAGUGUAAAGUGACUAAUUUACUAAACACUAUAUGAGAUCAGAACUAAGAUAUCUAAUAAUGAAACUGAGGAAAAAUUUGGUCUCAGUUUCAUGCAUGGUCACACAGCC